RNAcentral lists this ribosomal RNA (418 nucleotides) under Polycanthagyna melanictera. RNAcentral's name for it is "partial 16S ribosomal RNA". The stretch from base 1 to 210 matches the Rfam family "Archaeal large subunit ribosomal RNA", at positions 1889 to 2143 of the family's 2987-position model. Lineage: Eukaryota; Metazoa; Arthropoda; Insecta; Odonata; Aeshnidae. The record is from RNAcentral.
CGCCUGUUUAACAAAAACAUGUCUUCUUGUUAUAUUUAGGAAGUCUGGCCUGCCCGGUGAAAUAUUUUAACGGCCGCGGUAUUCUGACCGUGCAAAGGUAGCAUAAUCAUUAGUCUUUUAAUAGAGGGCUGGUAUGAAGGGUUUAACGAGGUGUUGACUGUCUCAUUCAAUUUGAUUUUUAGAAUUUAAUUUUUUAGUUAAAAAGCUAAAAUAUUAUUGGAAGACGAGAAGACCCUAUAGAGCUUUAUAUUUUUAUUAUUAAUUUAUUAUAGUUUAUUAUUAUUUAUUAUUAAUGAAAAGUAUUUUGUUGGGGUGACAAAAAUAUAUAAUUAACUUUUUUAUUUUAUUUACAUUGAUAUAUGAAUAUUAGAUCCAAUCUUAUUGAUUGUUAGAUUAAGUUACCUUAGGGAUAACAGCG